GUGAAAUUCCGUCGGAAUCUGGGAGGACCAUCUCCUAAGGCUAAAUACUCUCUAGUGACCGAUAGUGAACCAGUACCGUGAGGGAAAGGUGAAAAGCACCCCGGAAGGGGAGUGAAAUAGAACCUGAAACCGUGUGCUUACAAGUAGUCAGAGCCCGUUAAUGGGUGAUGGCGUGCCUUUUGUAGAAUGAACCGGCGAGUUACGAUUUGAUGCAAGGUUAAGCAGUAAAUGUGGAGCCGUAGCGAAAGCGAGUCUGAAUAGGGCGUUUAGUAUUUGGUCGUAGACCCGAAACCAGGUGAUCUACCCUUGGUCAGGUUGAAGUUCAGGUAACACUGAAUGGAGGACCGAACCGACUUACGUUGAAAAGUGAGCGGAUGAACUGAGGGUAGCGGAGAAAUUCCAAUCGAACCUGGAGAUAGCUGGUUCUCUCCGAAAUAGCUUUAGGGCUAGCCUCAAGUGAUGAUUAUUGGAGGUAGAGCACUGUUUGGACGAGGGGCCCCUCUCGGGUUACCGAAUUCAGACAAACUCCGAAUGCCAAUUAAUUUAACUUGGGAGUCAGAACAUGGGUGAUAAGGUCCAUGUUCGAAAGGGAAACAGCCCAGACCACCAGCUAAGGUCCCAAAAUAUAUGUUAAGUGGAAAAGGAUGUGGCGUUGCCCAGACAACUAGGAUGUUGGCUUAGAAGCAGCCAUCAUUUAAAGAGUGCGUAAUAGCUCACUAGUCGAGUGACACUGCGCCGAAAAUGUACCGGGGCUAAACAUAUUACCGAAGCUGUGGAUUGUCCUUUGGACAAUGGUAGGAGAGCGUUCUAAGGGCGUUGAAGCAUGAUCGUAAGGACAUGUGGAGCGCUUAGAAGUGAGAAUGCCGGUGUGAGUAG
This 876-nucleotide ribosomal RNA is filed under the name Staphylococcus aureus. Its description in RNAcentral is "partial 23S ribosomal RNA". It matches the Rfam family "Bacterial large subunit ribosomal RNA", at positions 426 to 1309 of the family's 2925-position model. Lineage: Bacteria; Bacillati; Bacillota; Bacilli; Caryophanales; Staphylococcaceae. The record is from RNAcentral.